Molecule: ribosomal RNA, 254 nt
Filed under: uncultured bacterium
Lineage: Bacteria
Description: partial 16S ribosomal RNA
Rfam family: Bacterial small subunit ribosomal RNA
Source: RNAcentral
UACGUAGGGUGCGAGCGUUGUCCGGAAUUAUUGGGCGUAAAGGGCUCGUAGGCGGUGUGUCGCGUCGGCCGUGAAAACCUGCAGCUUAACUGUGGGCGUGCGGUCGAUACGGGCAUCACUGGAGUUCGGCAGGGGAGACUGGAAUUCCUGGUGUAGCGGUGAAAUGCGCAGAUAUCAGGAGGAACACCGGUGGCGAAGGCGGGUCUCUGGGCCGAUACUGACGCUGAGGAGCGAAAGCGUGGGGAGCGAACAGG